This 508-nucleotide ribosomal RNA is filed under the name uncultured bacterium. Its description in RNAcentral is "partial 16S ribosomal RNA". It matches the Rfam family "Bacterial small subunit ribosomal RNA", at positions 28 to 507 of the family's 1533-position model. The record is from RNAcentral.
GACGAACGCUGGCGGCGUGCCUAAUACAUGCAAGUCGAACGCUUCUUUCCUCCCGAGUGCUUGCACUCAAUUGGAAAGAGGAGUGGCGGACGGGUGAGUAACACGUGGGUAACCUACCCAUCAGAGGGGGAUAACACUUGGAAACAGGUGCUAAUACCGCAUAACAGUUUAUGCCGCAUGGCAUAAGAGUGAAAGGCGCUUUCGGGUGUCGUUGAUGGAUGGACCCGCGGUGCAUUAGCUAGUUGGUGAGGUAACGGCUCACCAAGGCCACGAUGCAUAGCCGACCUGAGAGGGGGAUCGGCCACACUGGGACUGAGACACGGCCCAGACUCCUACGGGAGGCAGCAGUAGGGAAUCUUCGGCAAUGGACGAAAGUCUGACCGAGCAACGCCGCGUGAGUGAAGAAGGUUUUCGGAUCGUAAAACUCUGUUGUUAGAGAAGAACAAGGACGUUAGUAACUGAACGUCCCCUGACGGUAUCUAACCAGAAAGCCACGGCUAACUACGUG